AAUGAACGUUGGCGGCGUGGAUUAGGCAUGCAAGUCGCGCGCGAAAUGUAGCAAUACAUGGAAAGCGGCGCAAGGGAGAGUAAUACAUAGGUACGUACCCUUGGGACUGGGAUAGCGGCGGGAAACUGCCGGUAAUACCAGAUGACGUUUCCGAACCAAAGGUGUGAAUCCGCCUGAGGAGCGGCCUAUGUCCUAUUAGCUUGUGGGCGAGGUAACGGCUCACCAAGGCAAAGAUGGGUAUGGGGUGUGAGAGCAUGCCCCCACUCACUGGGACUGAGACACUGCCCAGACACCUACGGGUGGCUGCAGUCGAGAAUCUUCGGCAAUGGACGCAAGUCUGACCGAGCGACGCCGCGUGCGGGAUGAAGGCCUUCGGGUUGUAAACCGCUGUCGUAGGGGAGGAAAUUCUGGUGGGUACUCCCAUCAGAUUGACUGAUCCUAGGAGGAAGGACCGGCUAAUCUCGUGCCAGCCGCCGCCGUAA
RNAcentral lists this ribosomal RNA (482 nucleotides) under uncultured bacterium. Its description in RNAcentral is "partial 16S ribosomal RNA". It matches the Rfam family "Bacterial small subunit ribosomal RNA", at positions 29 to 523 of the family's 1533-position model. The record is from RNAcentral.